UUGGCUAUGUGUGUUUCCUAAACAGACCU
This 29-nucleotide non-coding RNA is filed under the name Mus musculus (house mouse). Lineage: Eukaryota; Metazoa; Chordata; Mammalia; Rodentia; Muridae. The record is from RNAcentral.